Molecule: ribosomal RNA, 500 nt
Filed under: uncultured Acidobacteriota bacterium
Lineage: Bacteria; Pseudomonadati; Acidobacteriota
Description: bacterial SSU rRNA
Rfam family: Bacterial small subunit ribosomal RNA
Source: RNAcentral
UUGAUCCUGGCUCAGAAUCAACGUAGGCGGCGUGCCUAACACAUGCAAGUCGAACGAGAAAGUGGAGCAAUCCAUGAGUAAAGUGGCGACCGGGUGAGUUACACGUGACUAACCUACCUUCGAGUGGGGGAUAACCUCGGGAAACCGGGUCUAAUACCGCAUAACAUCUUUGAAGUGGAAAUUUCGGAGAUCAAAGGAGUAAUUCGCUGGAAGAGGGGGUCGCGGCUGAUUAGCUAGUUGGCGGGGUAAUGGCCCACCAAGGCUUAGAUCGGUAGCCGGCCUGAGAGGGCGCACGGCCAUACUGGAACUGAAACACGGUCCAGACUCCUACGGGAGGCAGCAGUGGGGAUUUUUGCGCAAUGGGGGAAACCCUGACGCAGCAACGCCGCGUGGAGGAUGUAGUCCCUUGGGACGUAAACUCCUUUCGACCCGGACGAUAAUGACGGUACUGGUGGAAGAAGCCCCGGCUAACUUCGUGCCAGCAGCCGCGGUAAUAAGGU